UGUUAGCCCUGAUCGAAAUGAAAAGCCUUUUGAAAUAGAAUUGUAUUUUUUCUCGACAAAAAAGAGCGAUUGAAGUAAGCUCCUUUUUAGUCUUAGAAAAAAGCAAUGCUAUAAUAAAGCUUGAAAGGAAGAGCAGGAUAAGCU
RNAcentral lists this small RNA (144 nucleotides) under Flavobacterium weaverense. Its description in RNAcentral is "Flavo-1 RNA". It matches the Rfam family "Flavo-1 RNA". Lineage: Bacteria; Pseudomonadati; Bacteroidota; Flavobacteriia; Flavobacteriales; Flavobacteriaceae. The record is from RNAcentral.